GAUGAACGCUGGCGGCGUGCCUAAUACAUGCAAGUCGAGCGAACGGACGAGAAGCUUGCUUCUCUGAUGUUAGCGGCGGACGGGUGAGUAACACGUGGAUAACCUACCUAUCAGACUGGGAUAACUUCGGGAAACCGGAGCUAAUACCGGAUGAUAUUUUGAACCGCAUGGUUCAAAAGUGAAAGACGGUCUUGCUGUCACUUAUAGAUGGAUCCGCGCUGCAUUAGCUAGUUGGUAAGGUAAUGGCUUACCAAGGCAACGAUGCAUAGCCGACCUGAGAGGGUGAUCGGCCACACUGGAACUGAGACACGGUCCAGACUCCUACGGGAGGCAGCAGUAGGGAAUCUUCCGCAAUGGGCGAAAGCCUGACGGAGCAACGCCGCGUGAGUGAUGAAGGUCUUCGGAUCGUAAAACUCUGUUAUUAGGGAAGAACACAUGUGUAAGUAACUGUGCACAUCUUGACGGUACCUAAUCAGAAAGCCACGGCUAACUACGUG
Molecule: ribosomal RNA, 497 nt
Filed under: uncultured bacterium
Lineage: Bacteria
Description: partial 16S ribosomal RNA
Rfam family: Bacterial small subunit ribosomal RNA
Source: RNAcentral